This 300-nucleotide unclassified non-coding RNA is filed under the name plant metagenome. RNAcentral's name for it is "partial contains small subunit ribosomal RNA, internal transcribed spacer 1, and 5.8S ribosomal RNA". The record is from RNAcentral.
UUUCCGUAGGUGAACCUGCGGAAGGAUCAUUAUUGAAUAAACCUGAUGUGGCUGUUAGCUGGCUUUUCGAAGCAUGUGCUCGUCCGUCACCUUUAUCUCUCCACCUGUGCACAUUUUGUAGUCUUGGAUACCUCUCGAGGCAACUCGGAUUUUAGGGUCGCUGUGCUGUACAAGUCGGCUUUCCUUUCAUUUCCAAGACUAUGUUUUUAUAUACACCAAAGUAUGCUUAAAGAAUGUCAUCAAUAGGAACUUGUUUCCUAUAUAAUUAUACAACUUUCAGCAACGGAUCUCUUGGCUCUC